AUAAGGGCGUUCGGUGGAUGCCUUGGCAGCAAGAGGCGAUGAAAGACGUGGUACGCUGCGAUAAGCUGUGGGGAGGUGCGAACAACCUUUGAUCCGCAGAUUUCUGAAUGGGGAAACCCACCUUCGAUCAGUAUUAUCUUGAAGCUCUGUAUCCUUGUUCCUGUCCAUGCAUGUGGGCGGAAGCAAACUUCGGUUUGUGAUGCAGGUUUUGAGCUAAUACUGGUCAACAAGAAGGUAUUCUCUCCCUGAAUACAUAGGGGAUUGAAAGCGAACCCAGGGAACUGAAACAUCUAAGUACCUGGAGGAAAGGAUAUCAACGAAACUCCGUAAGUAGUGGCGAGCGAACGCGGAUCAGGCCAAUGCUUCUGUACGUCUAAGUGGAACCGUCUGGAAAGUCGGGCAUUAUCGGGUGAUAGCCCCGUACACGUGUUGAUUUACAGGAGAUAUGAGUAGGGCGGGACACGUGCAAUCCUGUCUGAAUAUGGGGGGACCACCCUCCAAGCCUAAGUACUCCUUGCUGACCGAUAGCGAACUAGUACCGUGAGGGAAAGGUGAAAAGCACCCCGACAAGGGGAGUGAAACAGCACCUGAAACCGGAUGCCUACAAACAGUCGGAGCCCGCAAGGGUGACGGCGUACCUUUUGUAUAAUGGGUCAGCGACUUAAAGUAACGAGCAAGCUUAAGCCGAUAGGUGUAGGCGCAGCGAAAGCGAGUCUGAACAGGGCGUUCAGUUCGUUGCUUUAGACCCGAAACCGGGUGAUCUAGCCAUGAGCAGGUUGAAGGUGCAGUAACAUGCACUGGAGGACCGAACCGGUGCCUGUUGAAAAAGUCUCGGAUGACUUGUGGCUAGGGGUGAAAGGCCAAUCAAACUCGGAAAUAGCUGGUUCUCCGCGAAAGCUAUUUAGGUAGCGCCUCGGACGAAUACCUCAGGGGGUAGAGCACUGGAUGGGCUAGGGGGUCUUACCGACCUACCAAACCUAACCAAACUCCGAAUACCUGAGAGUACUAUCCGGGAGACACACGGCGGGUGCUAACGUCCGUCGUGGAGAGGGAAACAACCCUGACCAUCAGCUAAGGCCCCAAAGUCGUGGUUAAGUGUGAAAGGAUGUGGGAAUCCAUAAACAACCAGGAGGUUGGCUUAGAAGCAGCCAUCCUUUAAAGAAAGCGUAACAGCUCACUGGUCUAGGGUUCCUGCGCCGAAAAUGUAACGGGGCUCAAACCACGCGCCGAAGCUAUGGACUCCGUAAGGAGUGGUAGCGGAGCGUUCUGCAAGUCUGUGAAGGAGGACCCGUGAGGGCCUCUGGAGAUACCAGAAGUGCGAAUGCUGACAUGAGUAACGCAUAACAGUGUGAGAGACACUGUCGCCGUAAGUCCAAGGGUUCCUGCGUAAAGCUAAUCUACGCAGGGUUAGCCGGCCCCUAAGGCGAGGCCGAAAGGCGUAGUCGAUGGGAAGCACGCAAAUAUUCGUGCGCUAGUGGGUAGUGACGGAUCGAAACGGUAGUACACCCUUAUUGGAUUGGGUGUGCUGCUUGGAGGUUCCAGGAAAUAGCUCCCACAUUAAACCGUACCCUAAACCGACACAGGUGGACUGGUAGAGUAUACCAAGGCGCUUGAGAGAACUAUGUUGAAGGAACUCGGCAAUUUACCUCCGUAACUUCGGGAUAAGGAGGCCCAGCGUCACGCAAGUGGUGUCUGGGGGCACAGACCAGGGGGUGGCGACUGUUUACCUAAAACACAGGGCUCUGCGAAGUCGCAAGACGACGUAUAGGGUCUGACGCCUGCCCGGUGCCGUGAAAUUGAAUUCCCCGUGAAGAUGCGGGGUUCCUGCGAUCAGACGGAAAGACCCCAUGAACCUUUACUGUAGCUUUGCACUGGCAUUCGUGUCGGCAUGUGUAGGAUAGGUGGUAGACGUUGAACCCUGGGCGCCAGCUCAGGUGGAGUCACCCUUGAAAUACCACCCUUAUCGACAUGGAUGUCUAACCGCAGCCCCUCAGCGGGGUUCGGGACAGUGCAUGGUGGGCAGUUUGACUGGGGCGGUCGCCUCCCAAAGUGUAACGGAGGCGCGCGAUGGUGAGCUCAGAACGGUCGGAAAUCGUUCGUCGAGUGCAAUGGCAAAAGCUCGCCUGACUGCAAGACUGACAAGUCGAGCAGAGACGAAAGUCGGUCAUAGUGAUCCGGUGGUUCCUCGUGGGAGGGCCAUCGCUCAACGGAUAAAAGGUACUCUGGGGAUAACAGGCUGAUGACGCCCAAGAGUCCAUAUCGACGGCGUCGUUUGGCACCUCGAUGUCGGCUCAUCACAUCCUGGGGCUGGAGCAGGUCCCAAGGGUUCGGCUGUUCGCCGAUUAAAGUGGUACGUGAGCUGGGUUCAGAACGUCGUGAGACAGUUCGGUCCCUAUCUGUCGUGGGUGUAGGAGUGUUGAGAGGAUUUGUCCCUAGUACGAGAGGACCGGGAUGAACACACCUCUGGUGGACCUGUUGUCGUGCCAACGGCAAUGCAGGGUAGCUAUGUGUGGACGGGAUAACCGCUGAAUGCAUCUAAGCGGGAAACCCACCUCAAAACGAGCGCUCCCUUGAGAGGCGUGGAAGACGACCACGUUGAUAGGCUGGGUGUGUAAGCGCGGUAACGUGUUGAGCUUACCAGUACUAAUCCCUCGAUCGGCUUGAUC
Molecule: ribosomal RNA, 2666 nt
Filed under: algae metagenome
Description: bacterial LSU rRNA
Rfam family: Bacterial large subunit ribosomal RNA
Source: RNAcentral